RNAcentral lists this microRNA precursor (78 nucleotides) under Nannospalax galili (Upper Galilee mountains blind mole rat). RNAcentral's name for it is "miRNA (ENSNGAG00000007504.1)". Lineage: Eukaryota; Metazoa; Chordata; Mammalia; Rodentia; Spalacidae. The record is from RNAcentral.
CCUAGAACUCACUGUGUAGACCAAGCUGGUCUCAAUCUCACAGAGAUCCGCCAGCCUCUGCCUCCUGUGUGCUGGGAU